AGGGUUUGAUUAUGGCUCAGAUUGAACGCUGGCGGUAGGCUUAACACAUGCAAGUCGUGCGAGAAAGUAUCUUCGGAUAUGAGUAGAGCGGCGGACGGGUGAGUAACGCGUAGGAAUCUACCUAGUAGAAGGGGAUAGCCCGGGGAAACCCGGAUUAAUACCGUAUACCUCCUUCGGGAGAAAGAAGGCCUCUCUUUGAAGCUUUCGCUAUUAGAUGAGCCUGCGUAAGAUUAGCUUGUUGGUGAGGUAAAGGCUCACCAAGGCGACGAUCUUUAGCUGGUCUGAGAGGACGAUCAGCCACAUUGGGACUGAGACACGGCCCAGACUCCUACGGGAGGCAGCAGUGGGGAAUAUUGGACAAUGGGCGCAAGCCUGAUCCAGCCAUACCGCGUGUGUGAAGAAGGCCUUCGGGUUGUAAAGCACUUUAAGCAGGGAGAAAAAGUUAUAAGUUAAUACCUUAUAACCGUGAUGUUACCUGCAGAAUAAGCACCGGCUAAUUCCGUGCCAGCAGCCGCGGUAAUAC
RNAcentral lists this ribosomal RNA (523 nucleotides) under uncultured bacterium. RNAcentral describes it as "bacterial SSU rRNA". It matches the Rfam family "Bacterial small subunit ribosomal RNA", at positions 8 to 526 of the family's 1533-position model. The record is from RNAcentral.